RNAcentral lists this ribosomal RNA (424 nucleotides) under uncultured prokaryote. Its description in RNAcentral is "bacterial SSU rRNA". It matches the Rfam family "Bacterial small subunit ribosomal RNA", at positions 355 to 796 of the family's 1533-position model. The record is from RNAcentral.
UCGGGAAUCUUAGACAAUGGGGGAAACCCUGAUCUAGCCAUGCCGCGUGAGUGACGAAGGCCCUAGGGUCGUAAAGCUCUUUCGCCAGGGAAGAUAAUGACGGUACCUGGUAAAGAAGUCCCGGCUAACUCCGUGCCAGCAGCCGCGGUAAUACGGAGGGGACUAGCGUUGUUCGGAAUUACUGGGCGUAAAGCGCGCGUAGGCGGACUAUUAAGUCAGGGGUGAAAUCCCGGGGCUCAACCCCGGAACUGCCUUUGAUACUGGUAGUCUUGAGUUCGAGAGAGGUGAGUGGAAUUCCGAGUGUAGAGGUGAAAUUCGUAGAUAUUCGGAGGAACACCAGUGGCGAAGGCGGCUCACUGGCUCGAUACUGACGCUGAGGUGCGAAAGUGUGGGGAGCAAACAGGAUUAGAUACCCCCGUAGUCC